RNAcentral lists this ribosomal RNA (531 nucleotides) under uncultured bacterium. RNAcentral's name for it is "bacterial SSU rRNA". It matches the Rfam family "Bacterial small subunit ribosomal RNA", at positions 774 to 1302 of the family's 1533-position model. The record is from RNAcentral.
AGAAAAUAGAUACCCUGGUAGUCCACGCCCUAAACGAUGCAUAUUUGGUGUGGGCAGUUCAUUCUGUCCGUGCCGGAGCUAACGCGUUAAAUAUGCCGCCUGGGGAGUACAGUCGCAAGGCUGAAACUCAAAGGAAUUGACGGGGGCCCGCACAAGCGGUGGAGCAUGUGGUUCAAUUCGACGCAACGCGAAGAACCUUACCUGGGCUCGAACGGCUGAUCAACGGCGGUGGAAACAUCGCUACCCCGCAGGGGGGUUCAGUCGAGGUGCUGCAUGGCUGUCGUCAGCUCGUGUCGUGAGAUGUUGGGUUAAGUCCCGCAACGAGCGCAACCCUUGUCCUGUGUUGCCAUGUCGAAAGACGGAACUCGCAGGAGACCGCCAGGGAUAACCUGGAGGAAGGUGGGGAUGACGUCAAGUCCUCAUGGCCUUUAUGUCCAGGGCUACACACGUGCUACAAUGGACGGUACAAAGCGCAGCGAACUCGCGAGAGGGAGCCAAUCGCAAAAAACCCGGUUCUCAGUUCGGAUUGCA